UACGUAGGGGGCAAGCGUUGUCCGGAAUCAUUGGGCGUAAAGCGCGUGUAGGCGGCCAGGUAAGUCCGUUCUGAAAGCCCGGGGCUCAACCCCGGGAGGCGGAUGGAUACUGCUUGGCUCGAGUCCGGAAGAGGCGAGUGGAAUCCCGGUGUAGCGGUGAAAUGCGCAGAUAUCGGGAGGAACACCAAUGGCGAAGGCAGCUCGCUGGGACGGUACUGACGCAGACGCGAAGAACUGGGAGGGACAAACAGGG
RNAcentral lists this ribosomal RNA (253 nucleotides) under uncultured bacterium. RNAcentral describes it as "partial 16S ribosomal RNA". It matches the Rfam family "Bacterial small subunit ribosomal RNA", at positions 524 to 777 of the family's 1533-position model. The record is from RNAcentral.